GUCCACGCCGUAAACUAUGGGUGCUAGCUGUUACACGUAUCGACCCGUGUAGUAGCGAAGCUAACGCGUUAAGCACCCCGCCUGGGGAGUACGGUCGCAAGAUUAAAACUCAAAGGAAUUGACGGGGACCCGCACAAGCGGUGGAGCGUGUUGUUUAAUUCGAUGGUAAACGAAGAACCUUACCAAGGUUUGACAUCCUGCGAAGCACUGCGAAAGCAGAGUGUGCCUUUUGGAACGCAGUGACAGGUGUUGCAUGGCCGUCGU
This 264-nucleotide ribosomal RNA is filed under the name uncultured bacterium. RNAcentral's name for it is "partial 16S ribosomal RNA". It matches the Rfam family "Bacterial small subunit ribosomal RNA", at positions 793 to 1055 of the family's 1533-position model. The record is from RNAcentral.